RNAcentral lists this transfer RNA (76 nucleotides) under Bacilli bacterium. Its description in RNAcentral is "tRNA-OTHER". It matches the Rfam family "tRNA". From Rfam's summary of the family: Transfer RNA (tRNA) molecules are approximately 80 nucleotides in length. Their secondary structure includes four short double-helical elements and three loops (D, anti-codon, and T loops). Lineage: Bacteria; Bacillati; Bacillota; Bacilli. The record is from RNAcentral.
CAUCAAGUAGCUCAAUUGGUUAGAGCCCAUUGCAAGAGGCGAUGGUGAGUUGGUAGUUCGAAUCUAUCCUUGAUGA